UGAGGAAUAUUGGACAAUGGGCGCAAGCCUGAUCCAGCCAUGCCGCGUGUGUGAAGAAGGUCUUCGGAUUGUAAAGCACUUUAAGUUGGGAGGAAGGGCAGUUACCUAAUACGUGAUUGUUUUGACGUUACCGACAGAAUAAGCACCGGCUAACUCUGUGCCAGCAGCCGCGGUAAUACAGAGGGUGCAAGCGUUAAUCGGAAUUACUGGGCGUAAAGCGCGCGUAGGUGGUUUGUUAAGUUGGAUGUGAAAUCCCCGGGCUCAACCUGGGAACUGCAUUCAAAACUGACAAGCUAGAGUAUGGUAGAGGGUGGUGGAACUUCCUGUGUAGCGGUGAAAUGCGUAGAUAUAGGAAGGAACACCAGUGGCGAAGGCGACCACCUGGACUGAUACUGACACUGAGGUGCGAAAGCGUGGGGAGCAAACAGGAUUAGAUACCCACGUAGUCCCUGAGCGGGCUGGCAAGGCGCAU
Molecule: ribosomal RNA, 472 nt
Filed under: uncultured bacterium
Lineage: Bacteria
Description: bacterial SSU rRNA
Rfam family: Bacterial small subunit ribosomal RNA
Source: RNAcentral